UUAUGGUUAAAACUGCUAUUGUUCCA
This 26-nucleotide non-coding RNA is filed under the name Mus musculus (house mouse). The record is from RNAcentral. Lineage: Eukaryota; Metazoa; Chordata; Mammalia; Rodentia; Muridae.